ACGAACGCUGGCGGCGUGCUUAACACAUGCAAGUCGAACGGAAAGACCCUGCUUUUGUGGGGUGCUCGAGUGGCGAACGGGUGAGUAACACGUGGGUAACCUGCCCUUGACUUUGGGAUAACUUCAGGAAACUGGGGCUAAUACCGGAUAGGAGCUCCUGCUGCAUGGUGGGGGUUGGAAAGUUUCGGCGGUUGGGGAUGGACUCGCGGCUUAUCAGCUUGUUGGUGGGGUAGUGGCUUACCAAGGCUUUGACGGGUAGCCGGCCUGAGAGGGUGACCGGCCACAUUGGGACUGAGAUACGGCCCAGACUCCUACGGGAGGCAGCAGUGGGGAAUAUUGCACAAUGGGCGGAAGCCUGAUGCAGCAACGCCGCGUGCGGGAUGACGGCCUUCGGGUUGUAAACCGCUUUCGCCUGUGACGAAGCGUGAGUGACGGUAAUGGGUAAAGAAGCACCGGCUAACUACGUG
Molecule: ribosomal RNA, 467 nt
Filed under: uncultured bacterium
Lineage: Bacteria
Description: partial 16S ribosomal RNA
Rfam family: Bacterial small subunit ribosomal RNA
Source: RNAcentral